GAUCAGCGACGCCGCGUGAGUGAGAGUAUUUCGGUAUGUAAAGCUCUAUCAGCAGGGAAGAAAAUGACGGUACCUGACUAAGAAGCCCCGGCUAACUACGUGCCAGCAGCCGCGGUAAUACGUAGGGGGCAAGCGUUAUCCGGAUUUACUGGGUGUAAAGGGAGCGCAGACGGCCAAGCAAGUCUGAAGUGAAAUGCAUGGGCUCAACCCAUGAAUUGCUUUGGAAACUGUUAGGCUUGAGUGUCGGAGGGGUAAGCGGAAUUCCUAGUGUAGCGGUGAAAUGCGUAGAUAUUAGGAGGAACACCGGAGGCGAAGGCGGCUUACUGGACGACAACUGACGUUGAGGCUCGAAGGCGUGGGGAGCAAACA
This 369-nucleotide ribosomal RNA is filed under the name Lachnoanaerobaculum saburreum. Its description in RNAcentral is "bacterial SSU rRNA". It matches the Rfam family "Bacterial small subunit ribosomal RNA", at positions 385 to 774 of the family's 1533-position model. Lineage: Bacteria; Bacillati; Bacillota; Clostridia; Lachnospirales; Lachnospiraceae. The record is from RNAcentral.